RNAcentral lists this ribosomal RNA (492 nucleotides) under uncultured bacterium. RNAcentral's name for it is "partial 16S ribosomal RNA". It matches the Rfam family "Bacterial small subunit ribosomal RNA", at positions 28 to 505 of the family's 1533-position model. The record is from RNAcentral.
GACGAACGCUGGCGGCGCGCUUAACACAUGCAAGUCGAACGGAAAGGCCUGCUUUCCCUUGUGGAUUGCGGGUACUCGAGUGGCGAACGGGUGAGUAACACGUGAGUGAUCUGCCCCCAACUUGGGUAUAAGCCUGGGAAACUGGGUCUAAUUCCCGAUAGGACUGCAGGGUGGUGCCUGUGGUGGAAAACGAUUUUCUAGUGGUUGGGGAUGAGCUCGCGGCCUAUCAGCUUGUUGGUGGGGUAAUGGCCUACCAAGGCGGCGACGGGUAGCCGGCCUGAGAGGGUGGACGGCCACAUUGGGACUGAGAUACGGCCCAGACUCCUACGGGAGGCAGCAGUGGGGAAUAUUGCACAAUGGGCGGAAGCCUGAUGCAGCGACGCCGCGUGGGGGAUGACGGCCUUCGGGUUGUAAACUCCUUUCGACCGCGAGGAAGCCACCUGGUUGGAGGGGUGGUGACGGUAGUGGUAGAAGAAGCACCGGCUAACUACG